Molecule: ribosomal RNA, 143 nt
Filed under: uncultured Anaerolineaceae bacterium
Lineage: Bacteria; Bacillati; Chloroflexota; Anaerolineae; Anaerolineales; Anaerolineaceae
Description: partial 16S ribosomal RNA
Rfam family: Bacterial small subunit ribosomal RNA
Source: RNAcentral
AAUAGGUUGCCAAGCCGCGAGGCGGAGCCAAUCCACAAAAGCCGGCCUCAGUUCAGAUUGUAGGCUGCAACUCGCCUGCAUGAAGAUGGAGUUGCUAGUAACCGCAGGUCAGCAAUACUGCGGUGAAUACGUUCCCGGGUCUU